AGAGGGUGCAAGCGUUGUUCGGAAUUAUUGGGCGUAAAGCGCGUGUAGGCGGCUUUGCAAGUCGGGUGUGAAAGCCCUCGGCUCAACCGAGGAAGUGCGCCCGAAACUGCAGAGCUUGAGUACCGGAGAGGAUGGCGGAAUUCCCCAAGUAGAGGUGAAAUUCGUAGAUAUGGGGAGGAACACCGGUGGCGAAGGCGGCCAUCUGGACGGAUGCUGACGCUGAGACGCGAAAGCGUGGGGAGCAAACAGGAUUAGAUACCCUGGUAGUCCACGCCGUAAACGAUGAGAACUAGGUGUCGUGGGUGUUGACCCCCGCGGUGCCGUAGCCAACGCAUUAAGUUCUCCGCCUGGGAAGUACGGCCGCAAGGCUA
Molecule: ribosomal RNA, 371 nt
Filed under: uncultured bacterium
Lineage: Bacteria
Description: bacterial SSU rRNA
Rfam family: Bacterial small subunit ribosomal RNA
Source: RNAcentral